RNAcentral lists this ribosomal RNA (524 nucleotides) under uncultured bacterium. Its description in RNAcentral is "bacterial SSU rRNA". It matches the Rfam family "Bacterial small subunit ribosomal RNA", at positions 355 to 874 of the family's 1533-position model. The record is from RNAcentral.
CUAAGAAUAUUCCACAAUGGACGGAAGUCUGAUGGAGCGACGCCGCGUGGAUGAGGAAGGCCGAAAGGUUGUAAAAUUCUUUUGCGGAUGAAGAAUAAGCGGGGCAGGGAAUGGCCUUGUGAUGACGUUAGUCCGCGAAUAAGCCCCGGCUAAUUACGUGCCAGCAGCCGCGGUAACACGUAAGGGGCGAGCGUUGUUCGGAAUUAUUGGGCGUAAAGGGCGCGUAGGCGGCCUAGUAAGUCUGAUGUGAAAACCCCGGGCCCAACCCGGGAACUGCAUUGGAAACUGCGAGGCUUGAGUCACGGAGGGGGAAUCGGAAUUCCUGGUGUAGGGGUGAAAUCUGUAGAUAUCAGGAAGAACACCGGUGGCGAAGGCGGAUUUCCAGCCGAUGACUGACGCUGAGGCGCGAAAGUGCGGGGAGCAAACAGGAUUAGAUACCCUGGUAGUCCGCACUAUAAACGAUGCACACCAGGUGUCGGGGCGAGCGUCUCGGUGCCGGAGCGAACGCGAUAAGUGUGCCGCCU